Molecule: ribosomal RNA, 500 nt
Filed under: uncultured Glomeromycotina
Lineage: Eukaryota; Fungi; Glomeromycota
Description: partial small subunit ribosomal RNA
Rfam family: Eukaryotic small subunit ribosomal RNA
Source: RNAcentral
CCAAUAGCGUAUAUUAAAGUUGUUGCAGUUAAAAAGCUCGUAGUUGAAUUUCGGGAUCAAUGCGUCGGUCGUGCCUUCGGUACGUACUAGCGUCAUUGAUUCCUCCCUUCUGAAGAUCCGUGAUGUCAUUAAUUUGGUGUCUUGGGGAAUCAGGACCGUUACUUUGAAAAAAUUCGAGUGUUUAAAGCAGGCUCACGCUUGAAUACAUUAGCAUGGAAUAAUGAAAUAGGACGUUUGAUUCUAUUUUGUUGGUUUCUAGGAUCGACGUAAUGAUCAAUAGGGAUAGUUGGGGGCAUUAGUAUUCAAUUGUCAGAGGUGAAAUUCUUGGAUUUAUUGAAGACUAACUACUGCGAAAGCAUUUGCCAAGGAUGUUUUCAUUAAUCAAGAACGAAAGUUAGGGGAUCGAAGACGAUCAGAUACCGUCGUAGUCUUAACCAUAAACUAUGCCGACUAGGGAUCGGAUGAUGUUAAUUUUUUAAUGACUCAUUCGGCGCCUUACG